Molecule: ribosomal RNA, 491 nt
Filed under: uncultured bacterium
Lineage: Bacteria
Description: partial 16S ribosomal RNA
Rfam family: Bacterial small subunit ribosomal RNA
Source: RNAcentral
GAUGAACGCUGGCUACAUGCUUAACACAUGCAAGUCGAGGGGUAACGACGGGGAAGCUUGCUUCCCCGGGCGUCGACCGGCGCACGGGUGAGUAACGCGUAUCAAACAUGCCUCUUACUGUGGUAUAACCCGUCGAAAGUCGACCUAAUACAUCUUGUCAUCGUCUGCCUUCUUCCAAUUACAAUUAAAGAUUUCUGCUGUCUGAGAUGGGGAUGCGUCUGAUUAGCUUGUUGGCGGGGUAACGGCCCACCAAGGCGACGAUCAGUAGGGGUUCUGAGAGGAAGGUCGCCCACAUUGGAACUGAGACACGGUCCAAACUCCUACGGGAGGCAGCAGUGAGGAAUAUUGGUCAAUGGGCGAGAGCCUGAACCAGCCAAGUAGCGUGCAGGAUGACGGCCCUAUGGGUUGUAAACUGCUUUUAUGCGGGGAAAAAGUGAGGGACGUGUCCUUCAUUGCAGGUACCGCAUGAAUAAGGACCGGCUAAUUCCGUG